GACGAACGCUGGCGGCGUGCCUAAUACAUGCAAGUCGAACGAACCGCGACUAAGUGCUUGCACUAAGUCAAGGUGAGUGGCGAACGGGUGAGUAACACGUGGGUAACCUACCUCAUAGUGGGGGAUAACAGUCGGAAACGACUGCUAAUACCGCAUAGGACAUAGGAUCACAUGAUCCAGUGAGGAAAGGUGGCGCAAGCUAUCGCUAAGAGAUGGACCCGCGGUGCAUUAGCUAGUUGGUAGGGUAAAGGCCUACCAAGGCGAUGAUGCAUAGCCGACCUGAGAGGGUGAUCGGCCACAUUGGGACUGAGGCACGGCCCAAACUCCUACGGGAGGCAGCAGUAGGGAAUCUUCCGCAAUGGACGCAAGUCUGACGGAGCAACGCCGCGUGAGUGAAGAAGGUCUUCGGAUCGUAAAGCUCUGUUGUUAGAGAAGAACAGCGCAUAGAGUAACUGCUAUGCGUGUGACGGUAUCUAACCAGAAAGCCACGGCUAACUACGUG
This 502-nucleotide ribosomal RNA is filed under the name uncultured bacterium. RNAcentral's name for it is "partial 16S ribosomal RNA". It matches the Rfam family "Bacterial small subunit ribosomal RNA", at positions 28 to 507 of the family's 1533-position model. The record is from RNAcentral.